RNAcentral lists this unclassified non-coding RNA (200 nucleotides) under soil metagenome. Its description in RNAcentral is "partial contains internal transcribed spacer 2 and large subunit ribosomal RNA". The record is from RNAcentral.
UUCGAGCGUCAUCAACACCAUCAAGCCUGGCUUGGUAUUGGGCCUUGCCUGUAACACGGCCGGCUUUAAAAUCAGUGGCGGUGCCGCCUGGCUCUAAGCGUAGUAACUUUUCUCGCUAUUGUGCCCGGCGGUUGCUUGCCAACAACCCCUAAUUUAAUAGAUUUGACCUCGGAUCGGGUAGGGAUACCCGCUGAACUUAA